AAUAUUUAGCGCAAUCGGGGCCUAGGCUGUAUAGUAUGAUGCCCUUGCCAAGAAGAAUCGAACCAAAAAAAAAUUUGCCAAACGCCAAACCAAACGAAAAUGACACUUUCUGUGACAACAAAAAUCGGCCAUUGCAUUGCCAUUGAUGAGUGUUUUUGUUUGUAUUUAACACUUUUGUAUUAAUACAAAAUGCCUAAAAAUAUUACCAGUGAAGUGCGUGAGAUAAUUUUAAAGGUGAAAGAGUUUAUGGACGAGGAAAAGCGAAUGCAAGUGCCUAUAAUUCCUCUCAGUAAAGUGUACGUAAGAGUUUCUGCGGCCACUGGUGUAUCAGAACGUACAGUAUUGAACAUUGUAAAAGAAGCAAGACUGGUUGAGCAAGGUCUACUUGAUCCAGAGACAUUAAAGAAGUCCCCAAAGAAGAGAGUACGCACAAAAGGAAAAAUUGAAGUUGAUGAAUAUGAUUUACAAGUAAUUAGACGGAAAAUACAUGAAUUCUAUGCAUUCAAGAAAGAGGUGCCUACCAUUAAUAAGCUGUUGCAGAUCUUAAAAGAUGAAAUAAACUUCAAAGGUUCACGAGAAACAUUGCGUAAAAUACUCCGUAAAAAUGGUUUUCAAUUUAGAAAAACAAAAAAUAACAAAGAAAAAGAACCUGUACCUGAUUCGACAUCAACAGUUCCACCUAUGGUACCUCCAUACAUACACUCCAUGUUCAGUCAUAAAAAUAUUCAGUCUUAGUUUUAGGCCAGUAGAAUUAAACACAAAAAUUGAUUAAAUCGGAAAUAAUUCCUACAAAAGAUUUUUUUGCUUUAAUGGCUUCAUUGGUUGCCCAUUAAGACUCUCCUAAGUUUUCGACUUCGACGGAGUUGUGCUUAAGUGGUGGGGGCCCCCGAAAGGGGGGUUUUUUCGGUUUUCCGGUUAUACCGCGUAAAGGACUUACCCUAUCAAAAAGUGGUCUUCAUGACGGUUGAAGGGCACUUAAUCCUGCAUUGAAUAAGACCAAAUCCAAAUGUUUGGACAAACCGUUCCCGCGCUAAAGUUCGGAAAAGUAGAAAAUAUACGUAUAAUUAAUGACCCUCUCCACGUCCAAUGGCUUGUUACCCACAGGCUUCCAAGUCUUGAAAAGGGCCACCUCAACCAGUGUAACCCUAUCAAGGCUUACGAGCUUGAUGCGCCUAUCCUUGUGCGUCCCAGCCGUUCCUUAACUGCGGUUGGUGCACCUCUUCCUUGCACUCUCCUGAACGACCCUGUGUUACCUACUGUGGCUGUCCCUCUUCCUUGCAGCGUCCUGCACGACUACGUUGCCUAGCCGUAUGCCUGGUCCAAGGUUCGACGCCACAAAAUCAAAUUCGCACGCGUGAAAAUAGUUUAAAUACUAUUUUCCGUGCUUGCAACAUUUUUCUUUACUGCUUCGGCUCUAUUAGUCGUAGAGUGAUUGUAUAUAUCCUAUAGCCUUCCUCAAUUUAUGAGCUAUUCAACACAAAAAUUAUUAUUUCAAUCAAACGAGUAAUUCUUGAGAUUAGCGCGUUCAAACAAACAAUCAAAAACUCUUCAGCGUUUUAAUAUGAACUUGUUGUUGUUGAUUUUUGGCGUCAAACCUUAGACCAGGCAUACGGCUAGGCAACGUAGUCAUGCAAGAGGAUACAAGGAAGAGGGGCAGCCACAGUAGGUAACACAGAGUCGUUCAGGUGAGUGCCAGGAAGAGGUGCAGCAACCGCAGUUAAGGAACGGCUGGGACGAACAAGGAUCGGCGAAUCCAGCUCGUAUUCCUUGAUAGGGUUACACUGGUUGAGGCGCUCCUUUUCAAGACUUGGAAGCCUGCGGGUAACGAGCCAUUGGACGUGGAGAGGGUCAUUAAUUAUACACAUAUUUUCUACUUUGCCGAACAUCUGCACGAGAACGGUUUGUUCAAAACAUAUGAAUUUGGUCUUAUUUAAUGCAGAAUUAAAUGCCCUUCAACCAUCAGGAAGACCACUUUUCGAUAGGGUAAGUCCUUUACGCGGUAUAACUGGAAAACCGAAAAAGCGCCCCUUUCGGGGGCCCCCACCACUUAAGCACAACUCCGUCGAAGUCGAAAACUUAGGAGAGUCUUAAUGGGCAACCAAUGAAGCCAUUAAAGCAAUAAAAUCUUUUGUAGGAAUUAUUUCCGAUUUAAAAGCUAAUUCUACUGGACUAUUUAGUACUCAAAAUAUCUGAAAACAUGUUAGAAUAAGUUAAUGACAUAAAAGAUUUAAAAUGAUUCUCACAUCUGACAAAAUAUUUUUGCUAUACAGAAAAUAUUUUAUCAACUAAAGGUUUGUGAUAAAUCUUCAGAAGCUGAUAGUCUGCAAGUUUUUGUUAUUCUAAUUGUAUGCUGAUUACUUUAAUUAUACAGUAACAUAACAAUUGAUCAGCGUCUAAUUUGCAAUGGUCAUAGAGCUGUUGUUCCUAUCUAUAAAUUUAAAUUCAUUUUAGAAUAAACUAUUUUAAUCUACUGACAUAAUGUUUACAAAUUGAAAUUUUCUGCCAAUUGGUGAUAACCACCUUUUUAAAAACUAGAACAUAAGUUUGACAAUCUUUAUUAUACAAAGAAUAUAAUUUUAUUAAUUUUUAAAUGUAUAUGCUCAGUCACAAGCCUUUGAUUGAUGCCUAUUAUAAAUUAUAUCUUAAAGUUUGUAGUACUAUUAAGUUCUGUGCCUGUAGUGUCGUAUUUGAAAAUUAAAAGUAUAAGGUGUAGUGACAAUUUACCAACCACAACUAAUUUUAACAUUCAAUAAGGUAGAUUACAGUACAUGCGGCAUGCUAGUCAUCCCAAUAAAUUAUUUUUUUCUGCUUUCAGUUGUUGUGAUUGUAACUUAUGUAACGUAAAACAAUAAAUAUAUUUAUGGUAGAAUAUACAAUAAGCACAUACAAUCCAAUAUUUUGAGUGGCUAUAGACUGACAAAUUGAUAUCAUAUAACUAGACAUAAUAAUAAGUAAUAAUAUGCAAUGCUGAUUAAAAUCUUAUAAAAAAUUAUAUUUACUUUCUUUGUUUAUUAUGAAAAAAAGAUAUUAUUAUGUGCAGCAUAUCUUUUUUUUAUUACGAGUGAAUUGAGGCCGUCAGCGCAAAAGUGGCCUAACCCACAUUUUUCAUAUUCAUACUGAUCUAUUGCAAUUUAUUCAAAACCUAAUAAAUUUUGUUGCUAAAGCGGCUUUCACCCUUAGUUAAGAGAUGGGGCGCUGUAAAUAUUCUUUUUGCGCGCAUUGUUUUUGCCUACGAAGCAAUAUAAAAGUGGCCUAACCAAGUUUAGGCUCCAUACUAAUAUGUUAAGCUUAGGCCACUUUUGCGCUGACUGCCUCAAUUAAUGUUUUAAUCAUUUGAAUUUAUUCAUUGAAAGAUUAAUAAUUUCGCUCUUUCUCUCUCCAGUGAAAACGGACAGAAUUUAAAAUGUAUGAUAGGUAUAAUGACAAUUCACUUUUGGCUGCAAUGCGAAUGUUACACUUAAGUUUAUGUUUAAUAGUUACUAUUGUAUGCUUUGCUAGCCUUAAUUUACUUGUGUGUCAGCCUGGAUUGAUUUAAAAAACUUUUAAAUAAGAUUGAUAAAAUCAACAUUCUUAUUACAACAAGAGAGAUGUCGUACUAGGAAAGUCGAUCCAUAAUACAUUGGUUUCGACGUAACCUCUUUUUACAAUCACAUUGACUGCUUUUUACUAUCACAUGCUGUUUACUAAAGUUUUAAUAUAAAAACUUCAUUUUAUCAUAGUAAUGUGACAAUAAAGUAAAACAUCACAAUAUGUACCUUAUUCAUAAAGUUUAAAUAUAAUAAGAUACGUCUACACAAUGGCUGCUUCCAAUGUGACAUGGCCAGACUGUAUCGGACAGCGUUUGAGAUACACAACCAUUAUUUAGUAAUUUUUAACAAGGGAUUAAGUGACAAUACUAACAACAACAAUACAUCAAAGUGUCCAUGUCCUAAUACUGUCCAUGUCCUAUUACUGUCCAUAACUAUCUCAUUCUUACUGGUCACAUUUUAAGUUUUUAACCCCUGGUUCAAAAAGGGCUGUUAUAAGUUUGACCGCAGUGUGUCUGUUUGUUAGCACCGUUGCUCUUAAACGGGUGAACCGAUUUGGAUGUAGUCUUGUGUUUGAAAGCAGGUUUUCUAGUGGCGGUGGUUCUUAGACAUGUUUCAUCAAAAUCGGUACAGCCAUUUCAAUGUCGUCUCUUAGCUCUUUAGCGGUCAAACUAAUAAAAGAGCGAUUUUUUAAAUUAGUAGUUAUAACAUCUAUUCUUACUCAGCGGGGACCGCUGCCCAGCAGAUUCAAAACUUUUGUACGACUCACUGUUACCAUGACAUAAUAGUCUCCAAUGAGGUACCCUCUGUUCUUCUGUUUCUGUUGUUCGUCUGUUCUGUUUUCAUUUUCUUCUGUUCUUCGGUUCUGAAUGGCCUACCCUCAAAUGAUUUCCUAUUCUUCUUCACUUCACAUGUCCUGAACAGUGUAUUAGCUAUUAUUAAUUUUAUAUUAAGUGAAAUUAUUUAAUACUUAUCUAAUCUGUAUCUGUAUUAGAGAUGAAACGGAUAGUUGUUUGGCCGGAUACCGGAUACCGGAUAUCCGGCCAGCUGCUAGGCCGGAUAGCUGGAUAUCCGGUGGCCGGAUAGUUGGCCCAUUGUCUCGUUGCAUGUCGUGACGAGUUUAGCGCCGCACAUGUGCUUCGAACGCGAUCAGUGGAUCUAUUAGUAGACUAGACUAGUCACACUUUUCGAAAAUCGAAUCCGUCCGAAUAGAAUGUCAGAUUUUGCCACUUAUCUAGGAGGCAGAUCAAUUCGGGCGAUUUCGGUUGCUAUCGUGAGUGUGUGAUUGAAUAGCGAAAAUUAAAUUAGUUUACUUGCUGCGUAAUCUGACUGAACUGCAUCAUGUCAUCAGACCAUCAGUGAAAAAAAAGAUCGCCUAUUUUAUUUGGAAAUAUUUCGACAUUAUCAGAUAUCAUCAUUAGAGUGAAUAGCUCAGAAAAAUAAAUUAGUUUUUUGAAAGGCCUUAAUAUGGCUUUUUUGUAACUUUUUGGACUUUAAAUGAAAUUCGUCAUUAUUGUACGCCAUUUUAUUGACAUUUACCUCAAAGAUUAAUGCAUUUCAUUUUAUUAUUAGGAAAUUUUCGUAGUUUUUUAAUAUCCGGUAUCCGGCCGGAUAGUGAGUUACUAUCCGGUAUCCGGCCGGAUAGUAAAUUUAGGCCGGAUAUCCGGCCUACCGGAUAGUUACCGGAUAUCUGUUUCAUCUCUAAUCUGUAUCAUCACACCAAUUAUUUAUUCAUUAUAAUUAAUAUCUUUGUUAUGUCCUAACAGAAAAGUUACCACACCCUUUUACUAACUCGGAAUUUAAGAAUGAAAUUGCAAGUUGGUUAAAAAAUUUACUUCUUCAUGACUUCAUCGGCGCGCCGAUGAAAAGCCAUUAUUUUCAUGGAAAUAUCGUGAAAAAAUCGUGAAUCUCUCAAUUCCAUAGACAAGCAUCUUACUAAUGACAAGCGUGUGGUGGUUUGAAGUACAUAAGUGUAUUUGUGUGCUGUGUAAGUAAUUUUACUUGCUGCAGUCUCCACAAAGUGGAUUGUUUUUAAUCGUGACCUUUUAGUGACGAAAAUAAAUGUAUCCUACAUGUUUUAGUUUGUAAUAGUGUAGAAAUAGAUAUAAAAAUAGAAUGUAUGUGUAAAAUAUGAUAUAAAUAAAAAUUCGUUUUAUUGGA
Long non-coding RNA from Ostrinia nubilalis (European corn borer), 5687 nucleotides. RefSeq lists it as uncharacterized. NCBI's taxonomy places the organism in Eukaryota, Metazoa, Arthropoda, Insecta, Lepidoptera, Crambidae. The transcript has 2 exons. The record is from RefSeq and is a predicted model, not a curated record.